GAUGAACGCUGGCGGCGUGCCUAAUACAUGCAAGUCGAGCGAACAGACGAGGAGCUUGCUCCUUUGACGUUAGCGGCGGACGGGUGAGUAACACGUGGAUAACCUACCUAUAAGACUGGGAUAACUUCGGGAAACCGGAGCUAAUACCGGAUAACAUGUUGAACCGCAUGGUUCAACAGUGGGAGACGGUCUUGCUGUCACUUAUAGAUGGAUCCGCGCCGCAUUAGCUAGUUGGUAAGGUAACGGCUUACCAAGGCAACGAUGCGUAGCCGACCUGAGAGGGUGAUCGGCCACACUGGAACUGAGACACGGUCCAGACUCCUACGGGAGGCAGCAGUAGGGAAUCUUCCGCAAUGGGCGAAAGCCUGACGGAGCAACGCCGCGUGAGUGAAGAAGGUCUUCGGAUCGUAAAACUCUGUUAUUAGGGAAGAACAAAUGUGUAAGUAACUAUGCACGUCUUGACGGUACCUAAUCAGAAAGCCACGGCUAACUACGUG
This 497-nucleotide ribosomal RNA is filed under the name uncultured bacterium. RNAcentral describes it as "partial 16S ribosomal RNA". It matches the Rfam family "Bacterial small subunit ribosomal RNA", at positions 28 to 507 of the family's 1533-position model. The record is from RNAcentral.